AGUGAACGCUGGCGGUAGGCCUAACACAUGCAAGUCGAACGACAGCACAGUAAGAGCUUGCUCUUACGGGUGGCGAGUGGCGGACGGGUGAGGAAUACAUCGGAAUCUACUUUUUCGUGGGGGAUAACGGAGGGAAACUUACGCUAAUACCGCAUACGACCUACGGGUGAAAGCAGGGGAGCUUCGGACCUUGCGCGAUUGAAUGAGCCGAUGUCGGAUUAGCUAGUUGGCGGGGUAAAGGCACACCAAGGCGACGAUCCGUAGCGGGUCUGAGAGGAUGGUCAGCCACACUGGAACUGAGACACGGUCCAGACUCCUACGGGAGGCAGCAGUGGGGAAUCUUGGACAAUGGGCGCAAGCCUGAUCCAGCCAUGCCGCGUGAGUGAAGAAGGCCUUCGGGUUGUAAAGCCCUUUUGUUGGGAAAGAAAAGCAGCAGAUUAAUCCCCCGCUGUUCUGACGGUACCCAAAGAAUAAGCACCGGCUAACUUCGUG
This 492-nucleotide ribosomal RNA is filed under the name uncultured bacterium. RNAcentral's name for it is "partial 16S ribosomal RNA". It matches the Rfam family "Bacterial small subunit ribosomal RNA", at positions 29 to 507 of the family's 1533-position model. The record is from RNAcentral.